This 73-nucleotide transfer RNA is filed under the name bacterium. RNAcentral describes it as "tRNA-Pro". It matches the Rfam family "tRNA". Rfam says of the family: Transfer RNA (tRNA) molecules are approximately 80 nucleotides in length. RNAcentral also lists the same sequence under 3 other names. The record is from RNAcentral.
CGGGGUGUGGCCUAAUGGUUAAGGCGCGUGGUUUGGGACCACGAGAUUGCCGGUUCGAAUCCGGCCACCCCGA